This 85-nucleotide transfer RNA is filed under the name Felis catus (domestic cat). It matches the Rfam family "tRNA". Rfam says of the family: Transfer RNA (tRNA) molecules are approximately 80 nucleotides in length. Their secondary structure includes four short double-helical elements and three loops (D, anti-codon, and T loops). The record is from Rfam by way of RNAcentral. RNAcentral also lists the same sequence under 2 other names. Lineage: Eukaryota; Metazoa; Chordata; Mammalia; Carnivora; Felidae.
ACCUGGGUGGCUCAGUCAGUUAAGCAUCUGACUUCAGCUCAGGUCACGAUCUCACAGCUUGUGGGUUCAAGCCCCACAUCAGGCU